RNAcentral lists this transfer RNA (70 nucleotides) under Chinapotamon maolanense. RNAcentral describes it as "tRNA-Met". The record is from RNAcentral. Lineage: Eukaryota; Metazoa; Arthropoda; Malacostraca; Decapoda; Potamidae.
UGAAAGAUAAGCUAAUUUUAAGCUAAUAGGUUCAUACCCUAUAAAUGAAAGUUACUCUAUUCUCUUUCAA